UGUCAUUAUAAUACAUUGAGGAAUCGC
Molecule: small RNA, 27 nt
Filed under: Bombyx mori (domestic silkworm)
Lineage: Eukaryota; Metazoa; Arthropoda; Insecta; Lepidoptera; Bombycidae
Description: ovarian small RNA-35654
Source: RNAcentral